Molecule: ribosomal RNA, 690 nt
Filed under: Stenotrophomonas rhizophila
Lineage: Bacteria; Pseudomonadati; Pseudomonadota; Gammaproteobacteria; Lysobacterales; Lysobacteraceae
Description: bacterial SSU rRNA
Rfam family: Bacterial small subunit ribosomal RNA
Source: RNAcentral
UAAGAGCUUGCUCUUAUGGGUGGCGAGUGGCGGACGGGUGAGGAAUACAUCGGAAUCUACCUUUUCGUGGGGGAUAACGUAGGGAAACUUACGCUAAUACCGCAUACGACCUUCGGGUGAAAGCAGGGGACCUUCGGGCCUUGCGCGGAUAGAUGAGCCGAUGUCGGAUUAGCUAGUUGGCGGGGUAAAGGCCCACCAAGGCGACGAUCCGUAGCUGGUCUGAGAGGAUGAUCAGCCACACUGGAACUGAGACACGGUCCAGACUCCUACGGGAGGCAGCAGUGGGGAAUAUUGGACAAUGGGCGCAAGCCUGAUCCAGCCAUACCGCGUGGGUGAAGAAGGCCUUCGGGUUGUAAAGCCCUUUUGUUGGGAAAGAAAAGCAGUCGGCUAAUACCCGGUUGUUCUGACGGUACCCAAAGAAUAAGCACCGGCUAACUUCGUGCCAGCAGCCGCGGUAAUACGAAGGGUGCAAGCGUUACUCGGAAUUACUGGGCGUAAAGCGUGCGUAGGUGGUUGUUUAAGUCUGUUGUGAAAGCCCUGGGCUCAACCUGGGAAUUGCAGUGGAUACUGGGCGACUAGAGUGUGGUAGAGGGUAGUGGAAUUCCCGGUGUAGCAGUGAAAUGCGUAGAGAUCGGGAGGAACAUCCAUGGCGAAGGCAGCUACCUGGACCAACACUGACACUGAGGCACG